This is a non-coding RNA of Zonotrichia albicollis (white-throated sparrow), 241 nucleotides long. The record is from RefSeq and is a predicted model, not a curated record. NCBI's taxonomy places the organism in Eukaryota, Metazoa, Chordata, Aves, Passeriformes, Passerellidae.
AGCUGGCUCUAUAAUUGCUGAGUGCUCUACAAGAAAAAAUCUUCAAACCUGAAUCAAGAAACUUCAGGAAAGAGCUCAGCUGGUCUGGUCUAAGGGUACCUAUGCCAAAUGCUUAUGAGCAUAUAUCAAGACAGCUGCUUUUCAGCCACUGAGUAAUAGGUAUGUUCUCAUCUUCUGUCUGGUGAGCCAGGGCCUGCAAAUACAUACCAUGUGUGCUAAUCUACACCAUAAAGGAUUUUUG